RNAcentral lists this ribosomal RNA (446 nucleotides) under uncultured bacterium. RNAcentral's name for it is "partial 16S ribosomal RNA". It matches the Rfam family "Bacterial small subunit ribosomal RNA", at positions 330 to 792 of the family's 1533-position model. The record is from RNAcentral.
UCCAGACUCCUACGGGAGGCAGCAGUGGGGGAUAUUGCACAAUGGGGGGAACCCUGAUGCAGCGACGCCGCGUGGGUGAAGGAGCGUUUCGGCGCGUAAAGCCCUAUCGGCAGGGAAGAAGGAGGACGGUACCUGACUAAGAAGCCCCGGCUAACUACGUGCCAGCAGCCGCGGUAAUACGUAGGGGGCAAGCGUUAUCCGGGUUUACUGGGUGUAAAGGGGGCGCAGACGGCAGCGCAAGCCAGGAGUGAAAGCCCGGGGCCCAACCCCGGGACUGCUCUUGGAACUGCGCGGCUGGAGUGCAGGAGGGGCAGGCGGAAUUCCUGGUGUAGCGGUGAAAUGCGUAGAUAUCAGGAGGAACACCGGUGGCGAAGGCGGCCUGCUGGCCUGCGACUGACGUUGAGGCCCGAAAGCGUGGGGAGCAAACAGGAUUAGAUACCCUUGUA